AUGUACUUAGCCAGUGCUACAAGUCCUGACAUCUCUUUUGUUGUUAGCAAACUGAGUCGGUUUGUCUCAAAACCAGGCGAUGUGCAUUGGAAAGCUCUAGAGAGAGUUUUGCGUUAUUUGAAAGGCACUGCAAAUUAUGGAAUUCACUACACUAGGCACCCAGAGGUGCUUGAAGGGUAUAGUGACUCAAACUGGAUCUCAAAUGCUGAUGAGAUAAAGGCCACGAGUGGAUAUGUAUUCACUCAUGGAGGUGGCGCUGUUUCUUGGAAGUCUUGCAAGCCGACCAUCUUAACGAGGUCAACAAUGGAAGAAAAACUCACAACACUAGAUACAGCUACAGUCGAAGCAGAUUGGCUUCGCUGGCUCUUGAAUGACUUGCCCGUUGUUGAGAAACCUGUACCGGGUAUCCUUAUGAACUGUGACAAUCAAACUGUGAUCACGAAAGUGAACAGCUCAAAGGAUAACAUGAAGUCAUCAAGACACAUUCAGAGAAGGCUCAAGUCUGUCAGAAAAAUGAGAAACUCCAGAGUUAUUGCAUUGGAUUCUAUCCAAACGUCUAAAAAUCUGGCAGAUCCUUUUACUAAGGGUCUAUCACGUAAUGUGAUAGAUAAUGCAUCGAGGGAGAUGGGUAUGAGACCCACAACAUGA
This 648-nucleotide ribosomal RNA is filed under the name Triticum aestivum (bread wheat). RNAcentral's name for it is "partial small subunit ribosomal RNA". Lineage: Eukaryota; Viridiplantae; Streptophyta; Magnoliopsida; Poales; Poaceae. The record is from RNAcentral.